UACAGAGGUCUCAAGCGUUGUUCGGAUUCAUUGGGCGUAAAGGGUGCGUAGGCGGCGCGGUAAGUCGGGUGUGAAAUCUCGGAGCUUAACUCCGAAACUGCAUUCGAUACUGCCGUGCUUGAGGACUGGAGAGGAGACUGGAAUUUACGGUGUAGCGGUGAAAUGCGUAGAUAUCGUAAGGAAGACCAGUGGCGAAGGCGGCUACCUGGACAAUUGCUGACGCUCAGGCACGAAAGCGUGGGGAGCAAACAGG
This 253-nucleotide ribosomal RNA is filed under the name uncultured bacterium. RNAcentral describes it as "partial 16S ribosomal RNA". It matches the Rfam family "Bacterial small subunit ribosomal RNA", at positions 524 to 776 of the family's 1533-position model. The record is from RNAcentral.